GCCUGGGUGGCUUAGUUGGUUAAGCAUCUGACUGCAGCUCAGGUCAUGGCCUCAGGGUUCGUGGGUUCAAGCCCCACGUUGGGUC
RNAcentral lists this transfer RNA (85 nucleotides) under Felis catus (domestic cat). It matches the Rfam family "tRNA". From Rfam's summary of the family: Transfer RNA (tRNA) molecules are approximately 80 nucleotides in length. Their secondary structure includes four short double-helical elements and three loops (D, anti-codon, and T loops). The record is from Rfam by way of RNAcentral. Lineage: Eukaryota; Metazoa; Chordata; Mammalia; Carnivora; Felidae.